GUAGGUGGCAAGCGUUGUCGGAAUUAUUGGGGCGUAAAGCGCGCGCAGGCGGUUCUUUAAGUCUGAUGUGAAAGCCCACGGGCUCAACCGUGGAGGGUCAUUGGAAACUGGAGAACUUGAGUACAGAAGAGGAAAGCGGAAUUCCACGUGUAGCGGUGAAAUGCGUAGAGAUGUGGAGGAACACCAGUGGCGAAGGCGGCUUUCUGGUCUGUAACUGACGCUGAGGCGCGAAAGCGUGGGGAGCAAACAGGAUUAGAUACCCUGGUAGUCCACGCCGUAAACGAUGAGUGCUAAGUGUUAGGGGGUUUCCGCCCCUUAGUGCUGCAGCUAACGCAUUAAGCACUCCGCCUGGGGAGUACGGCCGCAAAGGCUGA
This 374-nucleotide ribosomal RNA is filed under the name uncultured organism. RNAcentral's name for it is "partial 16S ribosomal RNA". It matches the Rfam family "Bacterial small subunit ribosomal RNA", at positions 527 to 897 of the family's 1533-position model. The record is from RNAcentral.